GCCAGACUCCUACGGGAGGCAGCAGUGAGGAAUAUUGGUCAAUGGGCGCGAGCCUGAACCAGCCAAGUCGCGUGAGGGAGGACGGCCCUACGGGUUGUAAACCUCUUUUGCCGGGGAGCAAAGUGCCGCACGUGUGCGGUUUGGAGAGUACCCGGAGAAAAAGCAUCGGCUAACUCCGUGCCAGCAGCCGCGGUAAUACGGAGGAUGCGAGCGUUAUCCGGAUUUAUUGGGUUUAAAGGGUGCGCAGGCGGAAGAUCAAGUCAGCGGUAAAAUUGGGAGGCUCAACCUCUGCGAGCCGUUGAAACUGGUUUUCUUGAGUGAGCGAGAAGUAUGCGGAAUGCGUGGUGUAGCGGUGAAAUGCAUAGAUAUCACGCAGAACUCCGAUUGCGAAGGCAGCAUACCGGCGCUCAACUGACGCUCAUGCACGAAAGUGUGGGUAUCGAACAGGAUUAGAUACCCGUGUAA
RNAcentral lists this ribosomal RNA (465 nucleotides) under uncultured bacterium. RNAcentral's name for it is "bacterial SSU rRNA". It matches the Rfam family "Bacterial small subunit ribosomal RNA", at positions 330 to 793 of the family's 1533-position model. The record is from RNAcentral.